Long non-coding RNA from Lathyrus oleraceus (garden pea), 639 nucleotides. RefSeq lists it as uncharacterized. The transcript is spliced from 2 exons. NCBI's taxonomy places the organism in Eukaryota, Viridiplantae, Streptophyta, Magnoliopsida, Fabales, Fabaceae. The record is from RefSeq and is a predicted model, not a curated record.
AAUGCACACAAACGAGUUUUAUGUUCAUCGCGUAAGCUAAAACGGCCACGAAACGCUCAUGUGAAGUCCAAACACGAACGACCGUCCCUCACCAAAAGCGCUUAUCUGAAAAGCUCGGAUCCACAAUGCGACUUGCUUCUUCGCUUCAACAUCAUCUAUGUGCUUUGGAGUAUCAACAACAUUGUGGGUUCAUGGAUUGCGUUUCACCAUCAUCCCUUCGCUGUCGUCCAUGAAACAUACAUAAAGAAAAAACGGUAUCAGAGACAAAUCGAAGAACUUACUGGAUAGAAUCUCUGAUCGUGAAUAUGUCCUUGGUUACCAUGGAAUACAUUGGAAUUGGCUUGCUUAUGGACAAUGGAUUGUUUGGAAUUAUUUUGAAUAUAUGCUAUGUUCAUGGUUUGGGAAUCUUGGGACUGUUUGUAUAGAUUUUUAGGUGUGGAAAAUGGCAUGUAUAGAUUAUGUGUAUGGUUGGAUUGAAUUGGGAAAUUGACUUGUACAUGGUUGAAUUUGUAAUGCUUAUGGAAGAUGGCUUGAAGAAUCAUGACUUGGCCUUGUAAAAACUUGAAAUUGUAAUGGUUUGUGUUUGUAUUGAAAUGUAAUUUGGGAAUUGAAAUGGUAAUGGAAAUGAUGCUUAAUGAA